Molecule: ribosomal RNA, 597 nt
Filed under: Botrytis cinerea
Lineage: Eukaryota; Fungi; Ascomycota; Leotiomycetes; Helotiales; Sclerotiniaceae
Description: eukaryotic LSU rRNA
Rfam family: Eukaryotic large subunit ribosomal RNA
Source: RNAcentral
AGCAUAUCAAUAAGCGGAGGAAAAGAAACCAACAGGGAUUACCUCAGUAACGGCGAGUGAAGCGGUAAAAGCUCAAAUUUGAAAUCUGGCUCUUUUAGAGUCCGAAUUGUAAUUUGUAGAAGAUGCUUCGGGUGUGGUUCCGGUCUAAGUUCCUUGGAACAGGACGUCAUAGAGGGUGAGAAUCCCGUAUGUGACUGGAUACCUAUGCUCAUGUGAAGCUCUUUCGACGAGUCGAGUUGUUUGGGAAUGCAGCUCAAAAUGGGAGGUAUAUUUCUUCUAAAGCUAAAUAUUGGCCAGAGACCGAUAGCGCACAAGUAGAGUGAUCGAAAGAUGAAAAGCACUUUGGAAAGAGAGUUAAACAGUACGUGAAAUUGUUGAAAGGGAAGCGCUUGCAAUCAGACUUGCACUUGGUGUUCAUCAGGGUCUCGUACCCUGUGUACUUCAUCAAGUUCAGGCCAGCAUCAGUUUGAGUGGUUAGAUAAAGGCUUAGAGAAUGUGGCCCUCUUCGGGGGGUGUUAUAGCUCUAGGUGCAAUGUAGCCUACUUGGACUGAGGACCGCGCUUCGGCUAGGAUGCUGGCGUAAUGGUGUAAGCGACC